This 291-nucleotide ribosomal RNA is filed under the name uncultured microorganism. Its description in RNAcentral is "partial 16S ribosomal RNA". It matches the Rfam family "Bacterial small subunit ribosomal RNA", at positions 512 to 796 of the family's 1533-position model. The record is from RNAcentral.
GUGCGCGGGUAACCGCGUAAGGUGGCAAGCGUUGUCCGGAAAUUAUUGGGGCGUAAAGCGCCGCGCAGGCUGCCUUUUAAGUCUGAUGUGAAAGCCCCCCGGCUCAACCGGGGAGGGUCAUUGGAAACUGGAAGGCUUGAGUACAGAAGAGAAGAGUGGAAUUCCAUGUGUAGCGGUGAAAUGCGUAGAGAUGUGGAGGAACACCAGUGGCGAAGGCGACUCUUUGGUCUGUAACUGACGCUGAGGCGCGAAAGCGUGGGGAGCAAACAGGAUUAGAUACCCUGGUAGUCC